GCGACGCCGCGUGAGGGAUGACGGCCUUUCGGGUUGUAAACCUCUUUCAGUAGGGAAGAAGCGAAAGUGACGGUACCUGCAGAAGAAGCACCGGCUAACUACGUGCCAGCAGCCGCGGUAAUACGUAGGGUGCGAGCGUUAUCCGGAAUUAUUGGGCGUAAAGAGCUCGUAGGCGGUUUGUCGCGUCUGUCGUGAAAGUCCGGGGCUUAACCCCGGAUCUGCGGUGGGUACGGGCAGACUAGAGUGCAGUAGGGGAGACUGGAAUUCCUGGUGUAGCGGUGGAAUGCGCAGAUAUCAGGAGGAACACCGAUGGCGAAGGCAGGUCUCUGGGCUGUAACUGACGCUGAGGAGCGAAAGCAUGGGGAGCGAACAGGAUUAGAUACCCUGGUAGUCCAUGCCGUAAACGUUGGGCACUAGGUGUGGGGACCAUUCCACGGUUUCCGCGCCGCAGCUAACGCAUUAAGUGCCCCGCCUGGGGAGUACGGCCGCAAGGCUAAAACUCAAAGGAAUUGACGGGGGCCCGCACAAGCGGCGGAGCAUGCGGAUUAAUUCGAUGCAACGCGAAGAACCUUACCAAGGCUUGACAUGUUCUCGAUCGCCGUAGAGAUACGGUUUCCCCUUUG
This 623-nucleotide ribosomal RNA is filed under the name Micrococcus sp. So2Pt_165. Its description in RNAcentral is "bacterial SSU rRNA". It matches the Rfam family "Bacterial small subunit ribosomal RNA", at positions 391 to 1022 of the family's 1533-position model. The record is from RNAcentral. Lineage: Bacteria; Bacillati; Actinomycetota; Actinomycetes; Micrococcales; Micrococcaceae.